Molecule: ribosomal RNA, 664 nt
Filed under: Amphistegina lessonii
Lineage: Eukaryota; Foraminifera; Rotaliida; Amphisteginidae
Description: SSU rRNA
Rfam family: Eukaryotic small subunit ribosomal RNA
Source: RNAcentral
GUGGAGCAUGUGGCUUAAUUUGACUCAACGCGGGGAAUCUUACUAGGUCAGGACCGAUUCAUGAAUGUCACCCGUAGUAUAUCAAUACUUUUGGUGUCGCCGGUACAUGAUUGUUGGAUGAGUGGUGCAUGGCCGUUCUUAGUUCGUGGUGUGAUUCGUUGGAUUAAUUUGUUUCGAUUCUACGCCUCUGCGGGCAAAAGAACGUAAAAACGAACGAGACCGUGGCCUGUAUUUGUUUCGAGCGCGCGAAACUAAAACUACAGGGACAGGGGAACAAUACUACUACACACCAGGAAGGGCACGGCAAUAACAGGUCUGUGAUGCCCUCAGAUGUUCUAGGCCGCACACGUGCUACAAUUGAUUCCCCAGUCAAUUAAGUAGUGCGUGUGUUGUGAGAUCCCCCGCGUCGAGUCUAAAUUUAAGUCCACUAGUUGAGAUUGCCGAUUGUAAUUAUUCGGUACCACAACUAGGAAUGCCUCGUACGGUGGGAUCAACGAGUUCCAUUGGAAUCCGUCCCUGCCCUUUGUACACACCGCCCGUCGCUCUUACCGAUGGCGGUGGUUUCGAAUGUCACCGAGUGGGUCGAGGGUUUAAUAUACUCGCGACUCGCAACGUAACGUAAGAAACCGCCGCUAAAGGAAAGAGAAGUCGUAACAAGGCAUCG